Molecule: RNA transcript, 4145 nt
Organism: Phycodurus eques (leafy seadragon)
Lineage: Eukaryota; Metazoa; Chordata; Actinopteri; Syngnathiformes; Syngnathidae
Gene: rasal2
Gene name: RAS protein activator like 2
Exons: 22
Source: RefSeq, a predicted model, not a curated record
CGCACUCGUGCUGACUUUCGGGGAGUCUCGUCCAAACUUUGUCCCUGCCGCGACAGCAGCGGGGCGGGACGGGACGCCGCUGGGCUCGGACUCGACGUUCGGUUCUGGUGGGCUCCAGCCCGCCGCCCAUGCCGCCGGUGUGCCUCCGACCCCCGAGGAGGAGCGGAAGCAUGAGGCGGAGUCGUCCGGACUGGGGGAGUCCUCAUCCUCGUCCUCGUCCGAAGCUGCUAACGGGAAGCUAAGCUAAAGCUAACCAAGUGUUCGGCGGCCUUUGAAGACAAAAAAGGACAACAACAACAACAACAACAACAACAACAACAACAACAACCAAAAGCUCAAGUUGAAAAGUUGCCGUCGGCGGUCUUCCCGGCGACACCGGACAUGGACGACGUGGACUCGCUGCCCGGCGGCCCGGCGGAGCGCUUCCUGGCGGCCGGCGUGUGCCAGCAGCAGGGCUGGGUGCGCGUUCACGAGGUGAAUGGUCCGGCAGCCCACCGCCUGUCGUGUGGCCAGAGUCCAUUUUUGUGCGCCUGGGAGAAGAAGUUGUGCGUGUUGACGGACAGCCAGCUGCUGCUUCUCGGCGAGGAUGAGCAGAACACGUGCGAGGCCGCGGAGAAAUCGUCGGACGCUGCCGACGCGCGGAACCUCCGCAGGACCGUCAGCGUCCCCUCCGAGGGACAGUUCCCUGACUUUCCACCAGAGGGCGCCGCCGUGUUAGACGGGUCGUGCGAGCGAUCUGCGAGGAGGCGGAGCGUCCCGGGCCCGGCGAGCUCAGAAAAGACGGUCGCCGCGGACGCGCCCUGCAGCUCGUCGCCGUUCCGAGUGCCCGGUUUCUUCAGCAAGCGUCUGAAAGGUUCCAUCAAGAGGACAAAAAGUCAAAACAAACUGGACCGGAACAGCAGCUUGCAACUCCCCGUUUUGAGAACUGCUGACACGGACAGGUCUCACGGACUUCCUCGGCCGAACGAGUCGACGUCUCGCCGGUCCCCUCCGGAGGCCGCGGCCCUCGGCGUGGAGGACGGCGUGACGGUCAGGCCUCUGCACGGCAGCGUUCUGGGACGGGACUUCUGCUUCGAGGUGACCUACUCGGGCGGCACCAAGUGCUUCAGCUGCUCGUCGGCGUCGGAGCGAGACAAGUGGCUGGAGAACCUGAGGAGGAGCGCGCAGCCCAACAAGGACAAUUGCCGACGGGCGGAGCAUCUCCUGUGGCUGUGGAUCAUCGAGGCUAAAGACCUGCCCCCCAAGAAGACUUACUUCUGCGAGCUGUGCCUGGACGACGUGCUGUACGCGCGCACCGCCGGCGAGGCCCGCGGCGACGGCCCGUUCUGGGGCGAGCGCUUCCUGCUGGCCGACCUCCCCGCCGUGCGCAGCCUCACCGUGCACGUCUACCGGGACGCCGACAAGAAGAAGAAGAAGAAGGACAACAACAACUACGUGGGCCUGGUCAACAUCCCCGCGGCCGCCGUACCCGCUGAGCACGCCGGCCGCCGCCAAGGCCAAAGGGGGCGGCCCGUCCCUGCGCUUGAAGCUGCGUUUUCAGACCGUCGCCGUGCUGCCGGUGGAGCAGUACAAGGAGUUCGCGGAGUACGUCACCAACGCGUACGGGACGCUGUGCGCCGCGCUCGAGCCCGUCAUCGGCGUCAAGAACAAGGAGGACGUGGCCGCCGCCCUCGUGCGCAUCCUGCACGGCACCGGCACGGCAAAGGAGUUCCUGGGCGACGCGGUGAUGUCGGAGGUGGAGCGCUGCGGCGAGCACGACGUCCUCCUCUUCAGGGAGAACACGCUGGCCGCCAAGGCCACGGAGGAGUACCUCAAACUGGUCGGGCGCGAGUAUCUGCACGACGCGCUGGGCGACUUCGUCAAAGCCUUGUUCGAGUCGGACGAGGACUGCGAGGUGGAUCCCGCCCGCUGUUCCGCCGGCGACCUGGCGGAACAUCAAAGCAACUUGAAGAUGUGCUGCGAGCUGGCCUUCUGCAAGAUCAUCAACUCCUACUGCGUGUUCCCUCGCGAGUUGAAGGAAGUGUUUUCGUCGUGGCGCCGGCGCUGCGAGGCGGCCGGUCACCGGGCGGACAUCGGCGAUCGUCUGAUCGGCUCCUCGCUCUUCCUGCGCUUCCUGUGUCCCGCCAUCAUGUCGCCGUCGCUCUUCCAGCUGGCGCGGGAAUAUCCCGACGAGCGCACGUGCCGGACGCUCACGCUCAUCGCCAAAGUCAUCCAGAACCUCGCCAACUUCACCAAGUUCGGCGACAAGGAGGAGUACAUGGCCUUCAUGAACGACUUCCUGGAGCGCGAGCGGGCGGGGAUGACGCGCUUCCUGUCGGAAAUCUCCGACCCGGAAACGCCGCCCGGCGCGCCGGGAUUCGACGGAUACGUGGACCUCGGGAGGGAGCUGGCGCUGCUGCACGCGCUUCUGGCCGACGUGGUCGCGCAGCUCGACGAGGCCACGCUCGCCAAGCUGGGCCCGCUGCCGAGGAUUCUGGGAGAUAUUUCUCGCGGCCUGGCCGCGCCCGAUCCCCCCCGGCGACGGCCGGGCCGCUUCCGCGACCGACGUGGCUCCGCCCGCGACAUCGGCGCCGGCCUGUCGUCCGGCUCGCGGCGAAUCUUCCGGGAGACUGCGGACGGCACUUUGACGACGAUGUAUGUCGCUUGCAUGGAAAAGGACGACGACGCGCUGCGGCGACCCCUAAAGGGACAAACCCGAAGGAAAACGAAGACGAUACUGUCGUUUCGUCUCCCGACGCGGAUCAGACGGCGGUCGUCGCGCGAGGGCCGCGCCCCCCGCCGUCCCCUCGGCAGCCUUUCUACGACCGCGCCCGUUUGGCGCCCGAGGCCGCCGCGCCGGCGUGCGGGCGCAGCGUCUCCCUGGCGGACCUGCAGGACCCGGCCCGGGGAGGCGGGGCGGGCUCACGGUCGUCCGUCGGACCCGGGCGGGCUCCGCCCGCGGACGCCCAACCCCAGAGCGCCCCGCAGGUACGCCGCCCAUUGGCUCCGCCCAUCGAGCAUCAAAGCAGCCUGCAGCCGCUCUCCUUCCACAACCCCGCCUACCAGCUCGCCAGCCCCGCCCACCAGCUCAGUAGCCCCGCCCACUCGCCGCAGGACUCCGGCACCGGCAGCUCCCGCAGCAGCGGCCGGGCGGCGUCCGGCGGCGGUCCGGACGAGGCGGGCGUCGCCGUGCCGCGCCGGUGUGCCGCCGCGGGCGCCGCCCACAUCGUCGAGGUGGAGCAGCGCGGUCGGGCGGUGGGCGGGGCCAACUCGGAGACCGUGCCCGCCGGCAAUCAAAGCUCGCCCGAGGAGCAGUGUGUCAAACGUGUCAUGUCGCCUGUGGAGCGAACGGCGGCCUGGGUGCUCAGCAACGGACAAUAUCACCACGACCGCCGAGGGGAGCGGAAAGACGCCGAGGGACUCGGCCCAGAGGAGGGAGAAUGUUCCGACGAGGCUCCAGCAUGCCCUCGCCCGACCGACCCUAGUGAGGAGAAGCGGCUCAGGAAAUGGAUGAACUCCAUUAUUGAUUACAAGCAGGAAGUGUGUCAUCUGAAGGAUCUCCUGCGCGCAUCCUGUCGCCGCCUAGAGGAGUACGAGCGCCGCCUGCUGGCGCAAGAAGUCAACAUCGGCCACAUGCACGCCGAGUACAAAACGCGGCUGGACGCCAGCGAGGAACGCCGCCGACGAGAGCGACACGGCAAACAACAACAGAUCGACGACAUCCUCUCCAGGUUGCUGGCGGUGGAAGGCGAGCUAAAGCGUGAGCACGCCGAGAUGCAAGCGGUGAUUGAAAGCAAACAGGAAGUCAUUGACGCACAGGUCCAUUUGUUCUAGCAGGCGCCGUUGUCGUCGCUUUGUUACUUGUUCCGGAAAGGAAAGGAAAAAAACGGCUACUGGAAAUGGCCACAAAAUGCAGAGGAAACUCCACCCUGUGGCGUCCUAGCCAAUAGCAGCCGUAGCGACACCCCCGACUUGGAGAACUUCAGCACGUUUUCAAAACAGCGCAUGGCUCGCGCUCGACUAUAAUGGCAAACUGCGCCCGGGAUAUCCGCAGUGACGUCAGCGCAGUCGCUGCCCACGCAAGAGCAGCGAAUCUCGUGUCUGGACGCUACCAACGCUCGCCUGAUGGCGGCGCUGACGCAGGUGAAGGAUCGCUGCGGCUCGGC